RNAcentral lists this long non-coding RNA (5607 nucleotides) under Sus scrofa (pig). Its description in RNAcentral is "lncRNA (ENSSSCG00060041425.1)". The record is from RNAcentral. Lineage: Eukaryota; Metazoa; Chordata; Mammalia; Artiodactyla; Suidae.
CGUCUGGUUAAAGAGCAUGUGAGGGUGGGCAAGGGCCUGUGCCUGGGAGGGUGCACCAGCCCCCCAGACCGGGGCCAGAGAGCAGAUGGGGGUGCUCGGGAGCCAUGGGUCCUGAUUAUUGCUGAGUUACCACGUGAUCAAGCCAUUGUCCACGGAGCUGGACCCCGUGCCUGACUUGACACUGGUUUCUGGGUUUGCAGCCUCCAGGAAGGUGGAGGUUGGAGAAGAUGCUGGAAUCACCCAGCUGCUCCCUCUCCAGGGGUCCCUAGUGUGUGUGCUACUGCCCCGACCCCCCUGGGAGUCCCAGGCCCCCGCCCAGGGAUCCUAAGCCUUAAAUGGGUGGGAACCCUAGAACCUGCACUGCAAGGAUACCCUGUCUCUGCCCAGGCCUGGGCAGGAGACUGGCUUUGGCCUGGGGAUAGGAGAUACUGGGUGAGUCCCUCCCUUCCUCUGAGGCUCCCUGGCCCUCUGUGAGAGGGGUUACUGCUUUCUGCUUCCAUGGCUGCUUCUACCAAAAGUUCUGUGGGAUGCUGCCGAGGAACGUGCCAUGGCCUGUGUUUGGCACACAGUAGGCACUUGUCAAUGUGACCAUCCUGGCAACUCCAGCACCAGCAAGUACUAAGCAACACAACAGUCAUGAGAGCUGACCUGCUGCAUGCUUCUCAUGCUAAGUGUUGCCUUCCGCACAAUUUGGGGACCUGGGCACCUUUUUGGCCCCUUUUACAGAAGAGACCAGUGAGGUUUAGAGAGCAGGCUUGCAGGGGAAGUGGACGGACUGGGCCGCAAACUCAGGCCUCUUUGUCUGGCCUGGCCCACGUGCCUUCUCCCAUUAGGUGGAGAAACAGUGGCCCUGGAGCUGUCUGUGGCAGUGCGGUUACUAUAGCAGCCACCUCAGCCCCCGAGAGGGGAAGUGGAAAAUAGGCCAGAGCAGUAAUGAGGCUGCACGGUUCUGAUCUGUCCCCUGAUGGGAUCAGGCUUCACAAGCCUUCUUCCCACAUCAGAGGCAGCCCAGUGUCUGGGCCGUGGAUCAAAGGCCAGUCGUCUCUGCGCCCAGACACUGCGCCUGGCUCAGGCCUCAGAAGGUCCCCCCUUGAUCCUCCCACAGUGAGUCAUGCUGUUGCUGGCACCAGCCUCUGCCUGUUCCCUAAGGAUGUCACUUGCUGCCUGGAUCGGCAGUGAGCAGCGGUCCUGAGAAGGGCUCGUGCCCCAAACAGCUUGCACGGGGCUGCCCGAGACCCCACCUUGGGACCCAUGUGGCUUCCUUUCAAGGGGCAGCUCAUGGAGGGCAAGGGGCUUUUCAUGCUGGCAAACCCAGGUUUGACUCUGUGGUCCAUGUGGGGCUCUGGUCCUCUGACUCCCUUCCUCCGAUGGUCAACGUCCUUGUCUCAGUGCUGUGCAAAGAGGUGAUGCCUGCAAUGGCUCAGAAUGCAGCAGAGCAGACACAAGUCCUGCCUCCCCAUCAUGCUGUGGGACCUUGACCACACAUUCAACCUCUCUGAGCCUGUUUCCUCAUCCUCUUGUGACGAUGAAACAAGGUGACAAGUUUGCUCAAACCUUGUCUUCUCAGGCGGCUUCUCUAGCAACUGAACCCCACCCCUGCUCUCCCACCAAAAUCUAUAUAAUUUAUUUAUGCAGUAGGGUUACUGUUCCUUGUCCAACUGCCCCCCUGGAAUGUCAGCCCCUCUGGCGUGAGAGCAGGGAUCUUCCAUUUGUUUUCUAACGUAUCCCAAGUAAUAGAACAGCGCCGGGCAUGCAGUGGACCGAAGCUUGUUGAGUGAUUAUGUGUGGUCCCUAGAGCAGGACGGCUGCAUCAGUGACCACCCCCGUUUUCUCUCUGGCUCCCUCUCCUUUCCUGGCACAACCCCAGGCUUCUGCUGUGACCUCACCCCAUGCAUUCACAUCCCCCUCUGGUCCUGGAGCCCCUGGGCCUCAGCUUGGGAAAGGCGGGGACACCUGAGCCAACAGCCUGGGUCUGUGUGGUCCAUGGAAGCCUCUGCCCACGCCCCCAUGUGAGGUCGGGCCUCCUCUGCCAGCUCUGGGGAAAUUUCCAGAAGGGCUCCUGAGACGCAAGGAGGGGAGCAGCUUGUCCCAAUCUUCAUAGCUAAGACCACAGGGUUCUGGGCUCGGGGUUCCCUCUCUGCCGAAGACCCCUGGGGGCCACAUCUGCCCAGUGAGGUUGUGACGGGUGGGUAUGAGCUGCCCUGGGAUGCCCUAGAAGACCACAGACCCGGCCUCCUCCAGAAUUCCGGCCUCUCCCUGCCUGUCUCCUGUCUCCCUCCCCGGAAUCCAGUUCCUUCCAGAGAAACCAAAGUGAACCCACUGAGAGCGCCCAGAAUAAACAGUGACUAUAGGAGGAGACCCACCCCCGUGGAGCAGGGAGGAGGAUCGGGAAACACAGACAGAACCGAAGUGCAAGUGGGCUCCCGGCUUCCUGUCCUCAAGAUGCUUAUGUGAAGGAGAUGCACCAGAAAAUUCCACUCAGCAAAGGCUGCUCCUCGUAAUUAACGCUGCAGGGAAACAAGGACAGAACAGCAAAGGGCUCAUCCGGGGCAGGUCCACCGACGUGGGGUCACGUGGGCUAUGUCCCUGGGGCUUCAGGACCCGUGUCACCCCCUCAGCAUGCAGAGACCUGGGGGGGGGGACCAGGUGGGGGGGUGUGGAGGCGGGGGCUCCUGGGGACCCUGCAUGUUAGUGCCCAGAAGCUCCUGGUGUCUUCCCCCUACAGACACGGGGGAAGGGCAAGUCCCUUCCUUCUCUCCGAGCAGAGGAGUUUCAGAUCUGUCAGCCCCUUCAUGGCAUCUGCAACGCACGGGAUCUUGGAAUUAGAGCAUCUUUCACAGACUCACAGACGCUUUCACACAGUCUUUGAAUCACAGAACCUGAGAAUCCUAGAAUUCUAGAAUCAUAGGACCAUUCAAAGACUUACGGGCCUGAGAGUCGUAGAAUUAAGGAAUCUCUGGAGAAGACCUGGAGCCUCACCCACAGCUUAUUGGACCCUUGGAAUCGCAGCAUCAACCCUGAUAAACCUGGCAUUGAAACAGUCACCCUGAAGUCAGAACCUUAGCACAGGAAUUGACCUUUGUCCAGAGCCCACCUCCCACCCCCCCGGUUCAUGCAGAAGCCUUCUCUUCACUGUCCUAUAAUAACUUGAAUUCUUGCAGGGACGGGGAGCUUACCACCUGGCAGGGGAACCUGACUACUGGGCCCAUCAGGCUGCUGCUGCUGAGCCUAAAUUUGCUUCCAUGUGACCCACCCACUCCUCUGUCCACAUUUUGUGCCUUCCACCCCCCUCAACAUCCUGCCCCCACAAAGAGCUAAAUGUGAAAACUAGUGGACGGGAAACCAUUGAAGAAGCAAUUUGUCCUGGAAAAAACACAGUCCAGUUUGACCUUCAGGCUGUAGAGGUCAGUCUUCCUCCACAGCCAGCCUGGCACCAGCCGUGGGACGCUCAGCCCACAUCCAUUCACCAAGGGUUGAAAGGUGAUGAGAACAAUCGAGAUGUAGGGAGGGGUGGGGAGGCUGAGCAUGCCCUUUGAGGGGGUGGAUGAAGGGAUGCUGCCUUCUUGCACUGGAAAGGAUGCCCCGAGCCAGUGGACAAGGCUGGUCUGUGAGUCAGCCGACCUAGUCAGAGUUAUCCCAACUCUGCUACUGACUGCUAGGCUACUUUGAAUAAGUUAGGGUCUCAGAGCCUCAGUUUCUCCAUUUGUAAACUGGGCUAAUGAAGCCCACUCUUAAUCCGUGCCCAGGCUGCAGUGGACUCACUGAGGAUGCUCACUUCUUAUGUGGUCCUUGGCUCAUGGCAAGAGGGCACUCAGGUUACCUCCUUUCCCGCCUUCCAGCCUUGCCUGGGUCUUGGGGGCUGAGCAGGAUUUCUCCAGAGGAAGAAGAUGUGGAAAAGCAUUUCCAGGUGAAGGAACAGCAUGGGCAAAGCCUGGGGUCCACCAGCAUGUCAGGAGUACUUGGGGAGCAGCAUGUGUUUUAGGGGAGUCGGGAUGUGGGGGUGAAGAAGCAGUAUGGCCUGGGGGCAGUGGGGCCCUGGGUACCACUGUCCUAGAGGGCAGAGUGAGGGUGCCUGGAGCCUCGGCAGGAGCAGGUGCUUCCUGUGAAGUAGCCCCACCUCCUUUUGUCCUCAGCCUGGGGACAGAGUGCACUCGCCUGGCCUCCUGGGAUCCCAACACAAGGCAGGGCCAGGAAAGCCAAACAAAUUAAAACAUGUCAGAAACAAUCAUCAGAAGAGACAAGAGCUACUAGUUCCCAGGCUAGGGGUUGAAUCGGAGCUGUAGCCACCGGCCUACGCCAGAGCCACAGCAACGCGGGAUCCGAGCCGCGUCUGCAACCUACACCACAGCUCACGGCAACGCCAGAUCGUUAACCCACUGAGCAAGGGCAGGGACCGAACCCGCAAUCUCAUGGUUCCUAGUCGGAUUCGUUAACCACUGCACCACGACGGGAACUCCAAGACCCAGAUUUUAUUAAGUUUAUAAAGGAGGCCAAGUCUCCUGGAGCCUGGCGGCCCACGACAGAUUUGGGGAAGCUGCCAGAGGCGUGCUGUGGGGGCCGAGUGUCUGGGCUGGGAUUCAGUUCUGCCCCCAUGAGCUGUGUGACAUGGGGCAAGUUACCUAACCUCUCUGGGCUUUGCAUCCCACCUACAUGAGGCCAGGUUGUGUUGGCACCCCCAGGCAGCAGCACAGACCAAAGGAGACCCCACGGGAAGACCUCUGCUUCCUCACAUCCCAAGGCUUCCCUCUGUCAGAUCUCAGGGGUCCAAUCUUUUGCCCUCCUCCCCUCUGUGAUCCAGGCAGGAUCCAUCCGUCAAGCCUGGAUUUACUGUCCCAUCCGGUCACGGUCACGUGCUCCACCUGGUGCGUCCAAGCUGGCUCAACCCCGUCCAGUCCUUCCCCAGCCCCGGACCCUGCGUGUGACUCCGGCCUCCGCUCUGAACAGUCAGGGUCCCUCCCGCCCCCGUGACGGGCCCAGCAGUUUAAGGAGCUCAGGUGUGACUUCAUUUGGGUCUUGUCCCCAGGUUCCCUGCCCGCCUCCCCCCUCUGAUCACACAGGGACAGCGCAUUACUGGGCGGACCCUGGAGGGCAGGUCAGAGCAGCCCAUGGCAGGGGGUGCCUGCUGCCUCUGUGGGUUUCUGGGUGCCCUGGGCCAGACCACCUGCCCUCGCUCUCCCCCAGGAAUCCUUCACCUCCGGGAGGGUGUCUGAGCCUCCACGCGAUCUGGACAGGGGGAGGGUUCUGUCUCUAGAGCAUCUGCAGAGGACAGAGGCUGCCGUCCAUCCUCUUGCUGCACAGACAGUAAAGGUACAGAAAUACAGAGGAUAAAGGUAAACAUGGAGGAGUUCCCGCUGUGGCUCAAUGGAAACAAACUAGUAUCCCAGCUAGUAUCCAUGAGGAUGCCGGUUCAAUCCCUGCCUUGCUCAGCAGGUUAAAGAUCUUGCAUUGCUGUGAGCUGUGGUGUAGGUCACAGACACGGCUCAGAUCCUGUGUUGCUGUGGCUCCAGCUCCAAUUCAACCCCUAGCCUGGAAAUUUCCAUAUGCUGCAGGUGCAGCCCUGAAAAGCAGAAAUAAAUAAAUAAAUAAAUAGCUCCAAAUUGGAUGCAA